Long non-coding RNA from Bombus huntii, 431 nucleotides. RefSeq lists it as uncharacterized. The transcript has 2 exons. Lineage: Eukaryota; Metazoa; Arthropoda; Insecta; Hymenoptera; Apidae. The record is from RefSeq and is a predicted model, not a curated record.
GUCCGGAGCUACUCAGGGAUGCUUGCGAAAGAAGAAAUGUCCAAACCUUAGAAGACAAAAGGGAUGAAUGCGAGGGGGUGAUGCAAAUGCCAGAAACGAAGAGUGCUUAUCCAGUUUGGUUAUAAGUAUAUUCCUCGAGCACUUUCUGAAAUAGGUGCAGCAGAAAACGCCUCGUAGGUCCGAGUCCAUACAACCAAAUCUCUGAAAGGGGUAGAGAAUAACAUACUUAUCAAAAAUCCUAGAAAGGGUGUAUAUUCAUGUACGAAGGUCGAUUUUCCCCAGUUGAACGAAAGAAAGUCGUCCCGCCAGUAUAUCUUGAGUACUAUAUCUGUGUAAACUCCAAGCUAAGAAUUGAUCGUCAUAGUAAACUGGGAAAAGAAAAGUAACUUUCAAAACUGUAGUAGUUUGCCGUCAAACAAUGACCACAUUUU